UGGGGAAUCUUAGACAAUGGGCGCAAGCCUGAUCUAGCCAUGCCGCGUGUGUGAUGAAGGCCUUAGGGUCGUAAAGCACUUUCGCUAGGGAUGAUAAUGACAGUACCUAGUAAAGAAACCCCGGCUAACUCCGUGCCAGCAGCCGCGGUAAUACGGAGGGGGUUAGCGUUGUUCGGAAUUACUGGGCGUAAAGCGUACGUAGGCGGAUCAGAAAGUAUAGGGUGAAAUCCCAAGGCUCAACCUUGGAACUGCCUUAUAAACUCCUGGUCUUGAGUUCGAGAGAGGUGAGUGGAAUUCCAAGUGUAGAGGUGAAAUUCGUAGAUAUUUGGAGGAACACCAGUGGCGAAGGCGGCUCACUGGCUCGAUACUGACGCUGAGGUACGAAAGUGUGGGGAGCAAACA
Molecule: ribosomal RNA, 402 nt
Filed under: uncultured Paracoccaceae bacterium
Lineage: Bacteria; Pseudomonadati; Pseudomonadota; Alphaproteobacteria; Rhodobacterales; Paracoccaceae
Description: bacterial SSU rRNA
Rfam family: Bacterial small subunit ribosomal RNA
Source: RNAcentral